GACGAACGCUGGCGGCGUGCUUAACACAUGCAAGUCGAACGGGAGUAUCGAAGAAGCUUGCUUUAGAGAUACUUUAGUGGCGGACGGGUGAGUAACGCGUGAGGAGCUGUCCUAUGCAGGGGGACAACAGUUGGAAACGACUGCUAAUACCCCAUAAGCCGAGAGGUAAAAGGAUUUAUCCGGCAGAGGAGGUACUCGCGUCCUAUCAGCUAGUAGGUGAGGUAACGGCUCACCUAGGCGAAGACGGGUAGCCAGCCUGAGAGGGCGAACGGCCACACUGGAACUGAGGUACGGUCCAGACUCCUACGGGAGGCAGCAGUGGGUAAUAUUGGGCAAUGGGGGGAACCCUGACCCAGCGACGCCGCGUGGGUGAAGAAAUCCUUCGGGAUGUAAAGCCCUGUUGUAUGGGAAGAGCGGAAGACGGUACCAUACGAGGAAGCCCCGGCAAACUACGUGCCAGCAGCCGCCGUAA
RNAcentral lists this ribosomal RNA (472 nucleotides) under uncultured bacterium. RNAcentral's name for it is "partial 16S ribosomal RNA". It matches the Rfam family "Bacterial small subunit ribosomal RNA", at positions 28 to 523 of the family's 1533-position model. The record is from RNAcentral.